Molecule: ribosomal RNA, 497 nt
Filed under: uncultured bacterium
Lineage: Bacteria
Description: partial 16S ribosomal RNA
Rfam family: Bacterial small subunit ribosomal RNA
Source: RNAcentral
GAUGAACGCUGGCGGCGUGCCUAAUACAUGCAAGUCGAGCGAACAGACGAUGAGCUUGCUCCUCGGACGUUAGCGGCGGACGGGUGAGUAACACGUGUAUAACCUACCUAUAAUACUGGGAUAACUUCGGGAAACCGGAGCUAAUACCGUAUAAUAUAUUGAACCGCAUGGGUCAAUAGUGAAAGACGGUUGUGGUGGCACUUAUAGAUGGAUCCGCGCCGCAUUAGCUAGUUGUUAAGGUAACGGCUUACCAAGGCUACGAUGCGUAGCCGACCUGUGAGGGUGGUCGGCGACCUGGGAGGGUAACCAGGGUCAUGGCUCCUGAGGGAGGCAGCAGUCGGGAAUCUUACGCAAUGGUCGGAAGCAUGACGGAGUAACGCCGCGUGAGUGAUGAAGGUCUUCGGAUCGUAAAACUCUGUUUCUAGGGAAGAACAAAUGUGGAAGGAACUAAGCACGUCUUGACGGUACCUAAUCAGGAAGCCACGGCUAACUACGUG